GGGAUUCCCCUAGUAACGGCGAGUGAAGCGGGAACAGCUCAAAUUUGAAAUCUGGCCCUUGGGUCCGAGUUGUAAUUUGCAGAGGAUGCUUUUGGUGCGGUGCCUUCCGAGUUCCCUGGAACGGGACGCCUUAGAGGGUGAGAGCCCCGUACGGUUGGACACCAAGCCUAUGUAAAGCUCCUUCGACGAGUCGAGUAGUUUGGGAAUGCUGCUCAAAAUGGGAGGUAUAUUUCUUCUAAAGCUAAAUAUUGGCCAGAGACCGAUAGCGCACAAGUAGAGUGAUCGAAAGAUGAAAAGCACUUUGAAAAGAGGGUUAAAUAGCACGUGAAAUUGUUGAAAGGGAAGGAUUUAUGACCAGACUUUUUCUAGGGGGAUCAUCCGGUGUUCUCACCGGUGCACUUCCCCUAGUUGAGGCCAGCAUCGGUUUCUGUCGGGGGAUAAAAGCUUUAGGAAUGUGGCUCCCUCCGGGGAGUGUUAUAGCCUGUUGCAUAAUACCCUGACGGGGACCGAGGUUCGCGCAUUGCAAGGAUGCUGGCGUAAUGGUUAUUAAUCACCCGUCUUGAAACACGGACCAAGGAGUCGAACAUUUGUGCGAGUGUUUGGGUGUUAAACCCUCACGCGUAAUGAAAGUGAACGGAGGUGAGAGCCUUUCGGGGUGCAUCAUCGACCGAUCCUGAUGUCUUCGGAUGGAUUUGAGUAAGAGCAUUAAUGUUCGGACCCGAAAGAUGGUGAACUAUGCGUGGAUAGGGUGAAGCCAGAGGAAACUCUGGUGGAGGCUCGCAGCGGUUCUGACGUGCAAAUCGAUCGUCAAAUCUGCGCAUGGGGGGCGAAAGACUAAUCGAACCAUCUA
This 850-nucleotide ribosomal RNA is filed under the name Apiospora septata. Its description in RNAcentral is "Arthrinium septatum partial large subunit ribosomal RNA". It matches the Rfam family "Eukaryotic large subunit ribosomal RNA", at positions 71 to 946 of the family's 3401-position model. Lineage: Eukaryota; Fungi; Ascomycota; Sordariomycetes; Amphisphaeriales; Apiosporaceae. The record is from RNAcentral.